RNAcentral lists this ribosomal RNA (457 nucleotides) under uncultured bacterium. Its description in RNAcentral is "bacterial SSU rRNA". It matches the Rfam family "Bacterial small subunit ribosomal RNA", at positions 29 to 523 of the family's 1533-position model. The record is from RNAcentral.
AACGAACGCUGGCGGCAUGCCUAACACAUGCAAGUCGAACGGGAUCCUAGCUUGCUAGGUGAGAGUGGCGGACGGGUGAGUAACACGUGGGAAUCUGCCUUUUGGUUCGGGAUAACCGCGGGAAACUGCGGCUAAUACCGAAUGCCCUCGAGAGAGGAAAGAUUUAUCGCCAGAAGAGGAGCCCGCGUCCGAUUAGGUAGUUGGUGGGGUAAAGGCCUACCAAGCCGACGAUCGGUAGCUGGUCUGAGAGGAUGAUCAGCCACACUGGGACUGAGAUACGGCCCAGACUCCUACGGGAGGCAGCAGUGGGGAAUAUUGGACAAUGGGGGCAACCCUGAUCCAGCAAUGCCGCGUGAGUGAUGAAGGCCUUAGGGUUGUAAAGCUCUUUUGCCAGGGAAGAUGAUGACUGUACCUGGAGAAUAAGCUCCGGCUAACUCCGUGCCAGCAGCCGCGGUAU